UACGGAGGGUGCAAGCGUUACUCGGAAUCACUGGGCGUAAAGGGCGCGUAGGCGGCCUAGCAAGUCUGGUGUGAAAGCCCAGGGCUCAACCCUGGAAGGGCACUGGAAACUGUUAGGCUUGGGUUCCGGAGAGGAGGGGGGAAUUCCAGGUGUAGCGGUGAAAUGCGUAGAUAUCGGGAGGAAUACCGGUGGCGAAGGCGCCCCUCUGGACGGAAACUGACGCUGAGGCGAGAAAGUGUGGGGAGCAAACAGG
Molecule: ribosomal RNA, 253 nt
Filed under: uncultured bacterium
Lineage: Bacteria
Description: partial 16S ribosomal RNA
Rfam family: Bacterial small subunit ribosomal RNA
Source: RNAcentral